CACGUAGGGUGCGAGCGUUGUCCGGAAUUAUUGGGCGUAAAGAGCUCGUAGGUGGUUUGUUACGUCUGCUGUGAAAUCCUAGGGCUUAACCCUGGGCUUGCAGUGGAUACGGGCAGACUAGAGGUAGGUAGGGGAGAAUGGAAUUCCUGGUGUAGCGGUGAAAUGCGCAGAUAUCAGGAGGAACACCGGUGGCGAAGGCGGUUCUCUGGGCCUUACCUGACACUGAGGAACGAAAGCGUGGGGAGCGAACAGG
This 253-nucleotide ribosomal RNA is filed under the name uncultured bacterium. Its description in RNAcentral is "partial 16S ribosomal RNA". It matches the Rfam family "Bacterial small subunit ribosomal RNA", at positions 524 to 776 of the family's 1533-position model. The record is from RNAcentral.